Molecule: long non-coding RNA, 268 nt
Organism: Micropterus salmoides (largemouth bass)
Lineage: Eukaryota; Metazoa; Chordata; Actinopteri; Centrarchiformes; Centrarchidae
Exons: 2
Source: RefSeq, a predicted model, not a curated record
ACGGAGAAAAUCUAGCUAAGCCCGGCGGUUAAGAAUACUAACGUUACUUUAAUGACAUUAUCUUCGCCGACCACCCGCGUCGACACCACUUGGCUAAUAAGUAACUGCGUUGUAGCUUCUGGGCUCUGGCUAUUUCCUGGACUUAACCGUAUGAGUGUUCCCCCCCAAACCCCGAGACGUUCCGGAUAUUAUCACCCUUCUGUCUCUUGAGCCUGGCACCUGCACUGUUUGGACGCUUUGGGUGUUUAACUGUGCAUCUUUGAGAGCC